UAUUAAAAAAUUCAUCCAUUUGUACCGGUAAAAUUGGUGUGACUUACAGAAUAACUAGACAGUGACGUGUCACAUGUACCUUAUGUUGAUGUAAAUGGACCAAUUUUUAACUAGAAAUAGAUGAAAAUUUUUAACA
RNAcentral lists this microRNA precursor (136 nucleotides) under Gossypium arboreum. Its description in RNAcentral is "MIR7502 microRNA precursor family". It matches the Rfam family "MIR7502 microRNA precursor family". The record is from Rfam by way of RNAcentral. Lineage: Eukaryota; Viridiplantae; Streptophyta; Magnoliopsida; Malvales; Malvaceae.